Molecule: ribosomal RNA, 304 nt
Filed under: uncultured Chlorobiota bacterium
Lineage: Bacteria; Pseudomonadati; Chlorobiota
Description: bacterial SSU rRNA
Rfam family: Bacterial small subunit ribosomal RNA
Source: RNAcentral
CCGAAGGGUGACCAGCAACGCCGCGUGGAGGAUGAAGUCCUUCUGGACGUAAACUCCUUUUAGAGGGGACGAAAAGCCCGAUUUGUCGGGAAUUGACGGUACCCUCAGAAAAAGCACCGGCUAACUACGUGCCAGCAGCCGCGGUAAUACGUAGGGUGCAAGCGUUGUCCGGAUUCACUGGGUGUAAAGGGUGCGCAGGCGGGCUCUUAAGUCAAAGGUGAAAUCUCUCGGCUUAACCGAGAAAUUGCCUUUGAUACUGAGAGCCUUGAGUACGGGAGAGGGAGAUGGAAUUCCAGGUGUACCG